This 559-nucleotide ribosomal RNA is filed under the name Pestalotiopsis sp. Po68. RNAcentral describes it as "eukaryotic LSU rRNA". The stretch from base 195 to 353 matches the Rfam family "5.8S ribosomal RNA". Lineage: Eukaryota; Fungi; Ascomycota; Sordariomycetes; Amphisphaeriales; Sporocadaceae. The record is from RNAcentral.
GAGUUUUUUAAACUCCCAACCCAUGUGAACUUACCAUUGUUGCCUCGGCAGAAGCUACCUGGUUACCUUACCUUGGAACGGCCUACCCUGUAGCGCCUUACCCUGGAACGGCCUACCCUGUAACGGCUGCCGGUGGACUACCAAACUCUUGUUAUUUUAUUGUAAUCUGAGCGUCUUAUUUUAAUAAAGUCAAAACUUUCCAACAACGGAUCUCUUGGUUCCUGGCAUCGAUGAAGAACGCAAGCGAAAUGCGAUAAGUAAUGUGAAUUGCAGAAUUCAGUGGAAUCAUCGAAUCUUUGAACGCACAUUGCGCCCAUUAAGUAUUCUAGUGGGCAGUGCCUGUUCGAGCGUCAUUUCAACCCUUAAGCCUAGCUUAGUGUUGGGAGCCUACUGCUUUUGCUAGCGGUAGCUCCUGGAAAUACAACGGCGGAUCUGCGAUAUCCUCUGAGCGUAGUAAUUUUUAUCUCGCUUUUGACUGGAGUUGCAGCGUCUUUAGCCGCUAAACCCCCCAAUUUUUAAAUGGUUGACCUCGGAUCAGUAGGAAUACCCGCUGAACUUA